Crotalus tigris (Tiger rattlesnake) is the source of this 8829-nucleotide RNA transcript. It is a transcript of the gene named ADAM metallopeptidase domain 11, with no coding region annotated. The transcript has 26 exons. The record is from RefSeq and is a predicted model, not a curated record. Lineage: Eukaryota; Metazoa; Chordata; Lepidosauria; Squamata; Viperidae.
UUCUCCACGGUUCUCCCUCACAUCACGUUAGGCUCUUCUAUCUAUCUCUGCCUAAUCAAGAGGAAGAAAUUUUUGUCUUUCUCCUGCCCGUUUCCAACUAUUCACUGGUUCUGAUUUGCCUCUGCAAAAGAUUCUCAUUGCCUGCCCUGAACUGCUUUUCUUCCACUCCUCUUUUUCCACCCUUAUCUUUCUCAGCAGUAAUCCAGAAGGAAGAGCAAAGAGGAGAAGCAAGAAGAGGUAAGGCAAGGACCAGUAAGAACCUCAGACUUUCAAUGCAAAGCAAAAGAAAACGAAGAAAGGGCACCACAAUCUGCCUCCCUUGCAUGCCAGACCAGCUGGUGCCGACUCUGGCUCUGAUUAUGAAGGCAUUAUGAGCUGCUUGCUCCAGAACUGGGUGUUGACAGCUUUCUGCUGCUUGCUGCUUUGUCAUUCAGGUUUUGUGAAGGCAGAUCCACAACCUGGUGAUUUGCGGAGGUGGGUUCCAAAUUCCAAUUGGCGCAAAAGUUGGGGUAUUUCAGAAAUCAUAUAUCCCACCAGGCUGAUGAAACAUAAUUCUGGGGGAGAGAUCCAGAGGUAUCAGCUGGACACAAGAGUGAGAAAAGAGACUGGUGGCAGCAGAGGAGGCGACAGAAAAGGAGGAAGCCCUGUUAUCCAUCUGGCCCAAGUGAGUUUCCUCAUCCCUGCCUUUGGUUUAACCUUCACUUUGGACCUUGAACUGAACCACCAUCUGCUGUCCUUAAAUUAUGUAGAACGUCAUUUUGAACAUGAUGGAAAUGCCAGCCACACCAUGGGAACAAGUGAGCACUGUUACUAUCAAGGCAAUCUCCGUGGAGAAGCAAACUCUUUUGUGGCUUUAUCUACCUGCCAUGGCCUACAUGGUGUUUUCUCUGAUGGAAAAGAUGCGUACCUCCUGAAGCCUCAUGAUUCACUUGAACAUCAAGCGCAGGAGCCACUUCCUCACCAAAUCUACCAGACACCAGUACCUCGCAUGUCCCGUGGUUGCACAGAACCAGGGUGUUUAUUUUCUGCACUGAACUACAACAUUCCUCCUGGGCUUCCUAAACUGCGUCGACGAAGACAGGUUCACCGAGGUCAUCGGACUGUCCACAGUGAGACCAAAUUCAUUGAAUUGAUAAUUGUUAAUGACCACCAACUGUUUGAGCAAAUGCGCCGCUCAGUCAGCCUUACCAGCAACUUUGCAAAGUCUGUGGUAAAUCUUGCUGAUGUGAUUUUUAAGGAGCAGUUGAACACUCGUAUUGUGUUGGUUGCCAUGGAGACAUGGGCAUCGGGGGAUAAGAUCCAGACUGAUGAAGAGUCCCUAGAGACAUUGAGAGAGUUUAUGAAAUAUCGCCAAGAGUCUCUUCCUGAAUACAGUGAUGCUGCUCAUCUUUUCUCAGGGCACACGUUUAGAAGCAGCCGCAGUGGUACAGCUUAUGUUGGAGGGAUCUGCUCAGUGGCUAGAGGCGGAGGUGUGAAUGAGUAUGGUACUGUUGGAGCCAUGGCAGUAACAUUAGCCCAGACCUUGGGUCAAAACAUUGGUAUGAUGUGGAACAAGCACCGUGCUUCUGCAGGGGAUUGUCGCUGUCCUGACUUAUGGCUGGGUUGUAUUAUGGAAGAUACUGGAUACUACUUGCCACGGAAAUUUUCACGCUGCAGUGUUGAUGAAUUCAAUCAGUUUCUGGCUGAAGGAGGAGGAAGCUGUCUCUUUAACAAGCCUUUGAAGCUCCUUGACCCUCCUGAAUGUGGUAAUGGAUUUGUUGAAACAGGAGAAGAAUGUGACUGUGGGUCCUUUGCGGAGUGUUCCAAAGGUGGAGGAAACUGCUGCAAGAAAUGUACCCUUACGCACGAUGCCAUGUGCAGUGAUGGGUUGUGUUGUCGAGAGUGCAAGUAUGAGCCACGGGGUGUAACUUGCCGAGAAGCUGUGAAUGAAUGUGAUAUCCCAGAAACUUGUACUGGGGACUCCAGUCAGUGUCCACCUAAUGUACACAAACAGGAUGGCUACUUUUGUGACAAUGAACAGGGCCGGUGUUAUGGAGGCCGUUGUAAAACCAGGGACCGCCAGUGCAAUGCAUUGUGGGGGCGAGCUUCAGCUGAAAGGUUUUGCUAUGAGAAGCUCAAUGUUGAAGGCACUGAGCGUGGGAACUGUGGGCAUGAGGGGAGCCGCUGGAUGCCCUGUGUCAAGCAGGAUGUAUUGUGUGGAUAUCUUCUCUGUGCCAAUGCGACAGGAUCUCCACGUAUUGGUGAAUUACUAGGCGAGAUCACAACAAUGACAUUCUAUCACCAGAAGAAAUAUAUUGAUUGCCGGGGUGGCCAUGUGCAACUAGUGGAUGGCACAGAUCUGAGCUACGUAGAAGAUGGGACACCUUGUGGACCCAACAUGUUGUGUCUUGAUCACAAAUGCCUUCCUGUCUCUGCCUUUAACUUCAGUAUCUGCCCAGGCAGCUGGGGUGGCCAGAUCUGCUUCGACCAUGGGGUCUGCAGCAAUGAGGGCCAGUGCAUCUGCUAUUCAGAUUGGACAGGAAAAGACUGCAGUGUCUAUGAUCCUAUCCCAGAGCCUAAGCCUACUGGGGAAACAGAAAAAUACAAGGGUCCCAGUGGUACCAACAUCAUUAUUGGCUCCAUUGCUGGAGCCAUCUUGGUGGCUGCUAUUGUUCUUGGUGGCACCGGAUGGGGAUUUAAGUAAGCAGCAUCAAUAUGCACAUGUUGUGCUUCUCAAAUCGCUGUGCCCUUGGGCUAAUUUGUCUUGAGGACUUUCUCUCUGUUGCAUGUAUUCCAGGUGCCUUUUGCAUUUUGGCACUUAUUUGUGAAAAGGGGAAUUGAGCCCAGAUAUAGUUUUGGGCUGAAGGGGAGGAUCCUCUUCAGAGUGGAGUCAUACGAGUAUUCCACAGAUAGUCCUUGACUUAUAAUUAUUCACUUAAUGACUAUUUGAAGUUUCAAUGAGCUUUCCAGGAGCUACUUAUAACUCAUUUUAAAAUUUACAAAGCUACACUCAUCCCCACAGUCAUGUGAUUGCAGUUUUGAGUGCAUGACAACCAGUUCACCUUUGUGACUGUUUGCACCAUCCCCCAGUCACAUGACCAUGAUUUGUGACCUUUUUUUUCUGAUUUCUGGCAUUUACUUCUAGUUUCCAGCAAAAAAACACCCAUUGGGGAAAAUGGAUUUGAUUAGUGACAGCCACAUUUGCUUAAUGAUCACAGUAUUCACUUAAUGACCAAUGCAAAAAGAGUAAAACAACAACAACAACCAGAUCUGAUCAGAUAAUGCAAUGACUUCUGGCUGAAAUUCCAGGCUCAAUUAUAGUUGUAAAUCAGGGACUACCUGUACUAAAGGUAUCAUGCAACAAAAAUGGUAUUGGCAAGCUUGUUUCCAUGAUGCAAAACUUUCUCAUGAUAGUACAGUAAAAGCAUGGAUAUUCUUGAGCUAUCUAUGUCUGACUACAUGCCUGGACUGAAAACAGGGAGCAGGCUUGGCUGAUGGAUUGAGUCUUUACUGCAUUUUAAUUUGAAAUUAGUAUUGAGAAUCACCGGAAGGAACCAUCAGUGGAUAGAGAAGGAUGGCAAAGGAAAGUAUAUGCAAAUAAGGUGUUGAUCAAUAGUCUGAAUCCACUUCAGAAAAUAAGGAUUGGCUGCUUUAGGAUAAUGUGAUAAGCUGAGAUAUAUAUCUGAAAAAAGUGAAGAGAGACAGAAGGUAUGUAGUAUUUUGGAGACCCAAAUUGAUAUUUAGUUGUAUUUCUAGGCAUGCAUGGUGCUUGAUACACAGACCAAAGCCACCCUCUUGUGGUGAGUGUCCGUAUUUAACAUAUCUGAGGAUAGAGGUGAGGAAAAUACAAACAUGGUAUUUGCUUAAAGGUGGUAAAUUCCAGUCCUUAUCAUGAGAAGUUAUAUUGGAACAAAAAGUUCAGAAGUGUGAUAUAUUAAAACUGCAUUGUAGUGUUUUUCCACUAAUAAAAAGAAAAUAUGGUAAGUUUUAGGAUAUUUCUAGUGGGAUUAGAGAGAGCAACAAGAAAUUCAACUGGAAAUAUUUCAUAGCAAUCUACUUGCAAGGAUUGGCUAGUAUUGUUGCAAUUUUGUCAUAUAAUUUUUUCUCCUCUUAAGAUGAUUUUCCUAGUUUUCUGGUCCAACACAGGAUUUCUCCUUCUCAGCUUGAACAUAUGAUUGAGAAGUAUAGCUGGAAGGGGACUACAAAGUGUUCUCGUUACUUCCCCCUCCCCACACCCACACACCAGUUUCCUAAAUAUUAAUAUUGCUGGUUUAUUAAAGUUCAGCCAGAACCUUUUCUAUUCUUGUCGUAUUUAUAAUUGACAUUGCUUUGAAUUGGGCCACACAUGUCCUCUUUCAAACUGUCAGUUUAAUAAAUGGACUGCCUUCAGUUUCAUCUGUGUGAUUUGGUUGCAGAAUCACUGUGAAAGAAAUGGGUCCAAGGAUCUUGAGGGGUUUUUGUUUUUUUUUGGCCUUGGUAAAAGUGCUAUUUAGUUUUUAGUUCAUGAAGUUUGGUUAAUACUCUUGGCUUAGUGAGAAGAAGAACUAUUUGGCAGGAGAAGCAGUUCACCUUGGGAAAGAAAAGCAGAAAUAGGAGAGAAAUGGGGAGAGCUGCAGACUGACUGGGGGUGGCUAUUUUUCCUCUCUGAUCCACAUCAGGCUUCCUAUUAUGUUUUGCAUGGAUUGACACUUGCAUGAAUGAAGGAGCGCCUGACCUGGGAUUGCAUGAAUCAGAUACUGAUGGUGAUGGGGACAUUGGCAUGGAGGUGGAGUGGGGAACAAUAGUCCUUAAAUAUCUGUUCCAUCCCCCAAAACAGCCUUGUAAAACUCAGUCUUAAACUAUACUUCCACAAUUCUCAGCUUAUUGGUGGAAGAUGAUAGGAGUGUCAUCCAAUAUAUUUAAUGCAUAAGAAGUGGGAGAAGCUGCUUUGGGUACUCUGCUCAUAACAAAAGUUUGAGGUAAUCCUAUAACGUUAACUAUAUCCCACUUGGACCCCCCACCCAAGAUCUCUUGCUUCCUUGCAGGGUUUAUUGCUGGUAUGACAUGUUGUAUGGGUUGGUCUGUUGCACUGGGGGGGGGGUGGAAUAUAAAUUCAUCAGUAUCACAGUUUGGGAGGCUGGAAGGAAGGAGACAUUUGAGGAAUGAAGAUGAGGAAAACACCUUCAAUUUUUGUCAAAGACAGAAUAAUCACUUUAGUUUCUUAGGUCUGUAACAGUUCUGGAAUCACAAAUAACUUUUCUUGCUUCCCCAAUCACAUGAGUGCCAGGCAUUUGGAAUGUUGUUUUGGUUGCAAAAUUUGAGUUCUUUCGUCAUUGGUUUAUUUUUAUCAUCUGUUGAGAAAGGUGAUACAAGGAAUGAAAAAAGUAGCAGAGGGAACUUAAUGGAAGGAUAAGGAAAAUGGAGGCCCUCUGCCCUGCAGAAAAUCCCCUUUCCCUGGCAGCUUCUACAUUCCCUCUAGUUCUACAUGUGGUAUUCUUGGUGUGCAGUAAACUUUCUUUAAAACAAGCAAACAACACUGACAUGUAGUAUUUCCAGAAGAAAUGCAGGCUAACACAGACUAGGAACGUGAGGCCCACUUGCCUCGGAGAAUGUGCUGCAAGGGAGAGUGAAAUGAAGGUGCUCUUCUUUGUGAUAUUUCCAGCCUCCCUUUAAGUUCUGACAGGAGCUACAUGAUCUAAUGGAGUUCUUCAACGAUGAUGGUAAUUGGAUCUCUGCACAAAAGUUGUCCCGGAUGGUAAGAAGAAAUUGCAUGUUAAGCUAGUUUGCAUUACCAACCAUAGCAUGUGGCACGAAGACUGAAGGCAGUCAGGCCAAGAUGUACAGCUGAAGUUAUCUGCUAACCCCUGCUCCUCCUCUCUCUUUCCUUUUCUCUCUUCGGCUUGCAAAGGAACAUUCGCAGAGGAAGGUCUGGAGGGGCAUAGCCCCAAAUCAUAACUUGAUCUUUGUGCUUCUGGGUCAGUAUUCUCACCAUAGGGUGGAAAAGAAGGUAAACAGCACCUUCUUCCUUUUUCUUUUCCUGGCCAGCAAAUAACCAACACCCUAAUCUACCAAGUCUUCCAUUGCUUCCUGGAUAGACAAGGGCAGGAAUGAAGCCCUCCUUUGAAGGGGUACCACAUUGCUCUGCUUCAUUGUAUGGGAAAAGAUCUUCAUGAAGGACCUCCAACUCUUUUAUAUCUUGCCAGAUGCACUUUUUCCUCUCCUUCUAACAUUGUCUGGAAAAAAGAGAGCCCCAAAACAGCAUUUUUUCUACCUGUGCAGGUCUACAUAUGUGCCUCACUUUACUAAUCCCACCAAGGACUGUACCAUCUUGGAACCACCAAAAUACUACAUGCAGCUCAGGGGUAUAACAACACUCUUCAACUUCUGGAAGAUGCUACUUGGAAGACAUACAAGCCUGUUCCUUUCCAUGAAAGUAGUUUGAGCAAAAGUGGAUAUUUGGGAUAUUUAGAUUCUGCUAAAAUUGGUUCCAAAUCAGGGAAUUGUGUGUUCAUAGUUAAGGCUUAUAAAAUUAUUGGGAUGAAGAAAUGACAUGUAUUCAUCAAUUAUAUCCAUGCCCUUUAUUUCCAUAUUUUUGUUUGUAAAAGUUUGUGAGUUAAGCCUUUCUAUCAUGCUGACUGCUCUAGCCUAAAUGCAAGAGCUUGCGCCAUUCUAGAUUUAAGGGAAAGUAACAGAGACAAGAUGAUAGCAUGCUAAAGUAGCACUCUAAAUAGACCAGACUUAUUACCUUUGCCCUCUCCUCCUACUUCCAAAGGUUAUAUUUUCUGUUUUGAAUGUAAUGGCUAAUAGUGCCACAGUGGCAAACCAAUGUUGGAAAUAGUGACAGCUCAUAACAAAAUGCAGCAAGUGGCUUCUUGGUCGGGGAGUGAGGGCAGAUCUCAUAUCACAAGUUUCGUAAGUGUAUCAGAGUCCUGUCAAAAGUGAGAAUGGACACUUUUGAUUUAUUUAUGGUUGAUCUCACCCUUAUUUUAUUUCUUUCAUUUGAAACUUUUUUUUCAUCAGCACAAAUGGAGGGGAAUUAGGCCAGCUUCUAAGUUCCAAAACUGGAAUAAUAAUACACCAUCCUUAGAAGUGGAGUCACCAGUCAACCAGAAGCCAAUCAUUCAUAAAACUGUGAUUUUUAAAGACUCCUCCUCCUCCUCCUCCUCCUCCUCUCACAUCCCUAUUCUCUACGCCUGUAGCGUACUAGGAAAUUUCUGUAGUUGAGCAAGUGCUUCUAAAUUUAUUUUCAGUCUUUCAGAACAAUUAGAUUUAUAUGGGAACUAAUUCUAUGCUGAACCAAACAUGAAAGAAUUCAGAGAGUGGCAUAAGAAGAAAAGUUAAUAGCAAUGGGUAAAUUUUAAAAAAGGAGUGGGAAGUGUUGUGUGUGAUGAGAUAAAAUUUCUUCAAUAAUGUUUCAGUACAAUAAGGAAAUUGGCUAGGAGGCCAUACUACAAUAGCACAGCAGGUGUUUGCUGGCAGGUAUUUUGUUUUAAAGAAUUUGAGGGUCAAGGAAAACCAGAUGGAUUAUAAGAAUUUUGUUGUCCCUUUUUACCUUUGUGGUAGAAAGCCCGCCAUAUUAAAUGGAUGGUCCAUUUCAUGGACCAGCUAGUCAACAUAAAACCAGCCCAUCUCAGAAGGUGCUGAGUCUUUUUGAAGUAGAGAUUUUAAACCAAAAAUUUGAAGUCCCCUUUGGAUCAUAGUGGAUCUCCUAUAGUAGCAGAGGAUUGAAUGAUAUUUCAUCUCUUGGAUCAAAAGUUUUUCUCCCUAAAUAAAAGCUAUCCCACCAUCAUCAUGGUAGGUUGCAGGAAAAUUCUCAGUAAGCAGAUUCUACAGAGAGAAGAGUUACAUAUCCACUUAGCUACACACAAUAAACUAGGAUUAAACUCAGAUUAUUUAACUUCAGAGAGAGAAGCUCUCAAGAGAGCAGUGCUCAAACUGUCACAUCUAUUUUGACCUUCAGCAUUUCUAAAAACAACUAUAGCUUGGAUUCUUCCAGACACACACAUACCCUCCCCCAGCACACUUCUAUGUGGAAUAGCUUCUAGAACUACACAUUGCUGCUUUUUUGUGCCUUUUCAAAAUGUUAUGUUUGAAGUGACUGUGUUCUCUUUCCCCAGUGCAACCGCAGCAGAAUUUCUAAUUUCAAUGAGUACUGUCAAUUGUCUCCUUGAGUUUGCCUUCUUCCAGUGAAGACACAUGUCCACAUUGAUAAUUCAAACAGUAAUACAAGAGGGGGGGAUUCUUUGAAAAUUUUAUCCUUUAAGUUUCUCAAGAGUAGGUGAAAAGUUGCAAUAAAGUGAGUCUCAGUUCUCAGAAAAUUGGGAAAUGUCUUAAAAUUUUCUCAACAUACCACUUGAAUAGAUGUAGGUACAGAACUGCUCACAGAGUAAUUGAUAAGCUCUUGGAAAUUUGAUUGAUUAUGACUAUCAUGCUUGGUCCAAAAUGUUUCCUGAGGAAAAUUGGAAAGUUUUAUGCAAAUUACCAUUUGCAAGCAUUGAGCUUCCCUGAAAAUGUGGAUUGGAGCCUUAUUUAAGCAUCUGAUAAUUCUCCAAUCCAAUUCUGCAGGGAAAUUAUCUGCAAGCUUCUCAUUUGGCAGGAUCCCUAAUAUGAUAGCUAUUUACUUAUUUAUUUAAAACAUGUAUAUAGCUGCCCAUCUUGAGUAUAUGAGGACAGGCAACUAUUCUGUUCCCUACCAUGGCAAUAUAAGAAGGCCAACUUAUGCCAUAGGCUAUGCCAGAUGAGAAGCUUGUAGUUUCUUUUCUUUUGCUGGGAACAGGGCAAGGGAUUGUGUUUUGAUAGGAAACUGAGGUCCUUCUUAAUGAUAAUUGAUUAAAGCAGGGGUCUUCAAACUUGGCCCUUUUAUGACUUGUG